GAGUAAUGUCUGGGAAACUGCCUGAUGGAGGGGGAUAACUACUGGAAACGGUGGCUAAUACCGCAUAACGUCGCAAGACCAAAGAGGGGGACCUUCGGGCCUCUUGCCAUCAGAUGUGCCCAGAUGGGAUUAGCUUGUUGGUGAGGUAACGGCUCACCAAGGCGACGAUCCCUAGCUGGUCUGAGAGGAUGACCAGCCACACUGGAACUGAGACACGGUCCAGACUCCUACGGGAGGCAGCAGUGGGGAAUAUUGCACAAUGGGCGCAAGCCUGAUGCAGCCAUGCCGCGUGUAUGAAGAAGGCCUUCGGGUUGUAAAGUACUUUCAGCGGGGAGGAAGGUGUUGUGGUUAAUAACCACAGCAAUUGACGUUACCCGCAGAAGAAGCACCGGCUAACUCCGUGCCAGCAGCCGCGGUAAUACGGAGGGUGCAAGCGUUAAUCGGAAUUACUGGGCGUAAAGCGCACGCAGGCGGUCUGUCAAGUCGGAUGUGAAAUCCCCGGGCUCAACCUGGGAACUGCAUUCGAAACUGGCAGGCUUGAGUCUUGUAGAGGGGGGU
RNAcentral lists this ribosomal RNA (558 nucleotides) under Salmonella enterica subsp. enterica serovar Derby. RNAcentral describes it as "partial 16S ribosomal RNA". It matches the Rfam family "Bacterial small subunit ribosomal RNA", at positions 108 to 662 of the family's 1533-position model. RNAcentral also lists the same sequence under 2 other names. The record is from RNAcentral. Lineage: Bacteria; Pseudomonadati; Pseudomonadota; Gammaproteobacteria; Enterobacterales; Enterobacteriaceae.